This is a non-coding RNA of Coffea arabica (coffee), 3134 nucleotides long. NCBI's taxonomy places the organism in Eukaryota, Viridiplantae, Streptophyta, Magnoliopsida, Gentianales, Rubiaceae. The record is from RefSeq and is a predicted model, not a curated record.
UUUUGCUGUCAGACUUUAGAAAAUUGAGCCUUCUCUUCUCCUGUUCUGUUGGUUUUGCUCGCUUUCCAGCUUAUUGUUCUUCUCAGCUUCUUCUCGCUCUCUCUGUCUCUGGUUCCUGCCGAGAAGAAAAAUGGCGUUUGGAGCCAGGAACGAGCAGGAAGUCAGAGGGAUCGUGAAGCCUCGCACCGACAAAAGAGACUACCGAAGAAUCGUUCUUCACAACGCUCUCGAGGUCCUCCUCAUCAGCUAUCCAGAAACUGAUAAGGUUCUUUUAGUGAUCCAGAAGGUCUUGAAGGCCUCGCGCAUUUUCUUGGUCUAUGCAGCUGCUACUGUCUUUCUUGUACCAUUUUUGGAGAGGAAAGGAAAUUUCCUGAGAUUGCCGCCUAUUUGAUAGAUUGAGGAAAAUCACAAGGAAAUACUAAAAGGAGGAGAAAAAGAUUUAGCUUUUCAGAGGAAUAGGAUGUGGAAGAGUAAAUAAACAGAACCCAGUGAGUUUGGGAGAACGAAGUAGCUUGCUCCAAGCCUGUACAUCUACUUUUGAGAAGAUGGUUUGGACUUAUAAACCCAAGAUGUAGACAGAAGCUUGAACUAGCUGCAUUAACAAGAAGCAUUAAUGAGAUGUGAUGUUCAUUUCUAUCAGCCAGCUCAUUUUGUAGCUAGCACUGAUUUUAGGCACUGGAGAAAGAAGAUAGUGAAGAUGGAAAUAAUUCUGAUUCUAGCAGUUAUUCUAAUGAUAAUGAGGACGAAAGGCCGGAGAGCAAAUCUAUCACCACCUCUUGGCCUCAAAUUUACAGGUGGUAUCAUCUUAUCGCACAUAUCUAUAUUUGUUUCUUUCUACAUCUAGCUAUGGUGUUCUCUACGUUUGUUCUGUUCUUGUUCUGCAGAUUCUGUAUUUAGCAGUGAAGCACUUGGUUUCUUGAAAGCUGUUAUAUUUAUAUGGUACCGGAUGUUUAGCUUUACCUAUUCAUUUUUGGCUAGGAGAGAUAUUUAGAAAUGGGAUUGAAAUGCUUUCAUCAUUCAUAUUUUGGAGCUUCUUCAAGUAUUUUCAUUCUGUUUCGGCCAUGAAUAUCAAUAGUUUAUGAGUUUGAAUGGAUCCAGUAACAUCAGUAAAGGAUAGCUAUGGGCUUAAGGUAGGCUAUGUAAUGUUAUCAAAAGGCCAGAGCAUUUUAUGUCUUCCCUGGAUCCUUCUUCAGCUUAGCGGAACUUGGUAGGAUGCACUUAUAUUGCUGACUACUGCCUCUAUUGAAAAGAUUUUCCUUCGUCAUGAGGGACUGGUGGUUAAUCCCUGUGAACCAUCUUUGGAAGUGAAGGAGUUGUAUUUGUCGUUACUACAUUUAUCAAUGGUAGAAACCAUAUUUUGGAUAUUACCUUUCAUCGAACCGCUGAUUCUGGAAGAGAAGUUUCCAAACCACAUCCAGAGUAUUCAUUUCAUGGGCUUUAGACUGAACCAAUUUCCAUAACUUUGGUGUGUCAUAACAUCUGGCCAGAACUAUACCAACUUUUAGACCGUCUGCUAGAUAUUUUGAUUGAAAUAAGUGCCAGAGAUCCACUCUCCUCCUCCAAUCAUGUACCAGCGUUUCUUAUUUGCAUCAGUUUUCAGUUGUUUUUGGAGAGGAUAAAACAUACUGGUUUGAUCAAGAGUACAACCAUCACUCCCUCAUGUGCAAUUCUACCAGCUGCAAAUAAUUUGGCUCUUAGCUUUUAAGAUUUAGAAUCAAUUCCAAUGGUUCUUUGUUAAUUUGUUUUAAACUUGCACAACUGGAUUAUAUAUUUGAGAAAUGGUUACAUUAGUCAUCUCACUUGGACUGUGUUCAAACUCUGGUUGAUAAUGCUUGGUAUCUCAUAUCCUUGUAUCAGGCAGUCCAUCGAUUUAUACAGCAGUGUACCAUCUCCAAGUCUUAACUUCCUGGGGACGCCUACGUUAUCACGUUUAGGCAGCUCAUUUAUCUCUUCUUCAUUAACAAGAAGAUACACUCCUGAAGUACUCCCUUCUUCGCAAAAACCUCUAUUACCACCAGUAGCAAAUGCACGGCAGCCACCAGAAAGGCGUAGUUCACUUUAAAUUUACACAAGCAGUAUGAGCCUGUCUAUGGUGAAUCAGAUGGCUUCUAUUAGCGAUGUCUUUUUCAUGUCUGCAAGAUAACAGUAUCUUUGCAUGGCUGAUUAACUGUUUGAAAGCUGAAUUUUGGUUUUCAGAAGGCCACAGCCAAAAGCUAAUUUGUGUAUGUCGAUAGCAUGCUUGGUUUUCAUCUAAAGUUGAUAUGACUGGUGCACAUACCUAAUCUUAUGGUGCAAGAAAUGAUGAUUUUUAUGCCUCGUUUAUGAGCUUUUCCUGUCUUACCUUAUUUACCCAGUUGCUUCAUUUAUGAAAGCUUCUUUCCUUCAUUUAAGUUAUAUCUUGGACAUCAGAUGCCAAGAUAUCUGCUCUGUCUGUUUGAGAUUAGGCAGUUGCAUAUAGUUCCUGUCAAAUGCUUUUGGCUUGAGCUUAGGAUUUUCUUGGUGUUGAUAUUGGUCAACGAUCCACUUUAGAUGCCUCUUCCGUCUGUUGUUGCAGACUUAUUAGUCACAGCUCAUUUGAAGCUCAUUUAUCCCUCGGAGUUAAUUUUGCAAUGGGAGUGUCUGACCAUUGAAUUGUGCAGGUUGCUGAGGCUCUGCCCCUUGGUGAUGCAUCUGUGGAUGCUGUAGUGGCCACACUUGUCCUAUGUUCUGUCAAAGAUGUUGACUUGGCGCUGCAAGAGAUUAUGAGGGUGCUAAAGCCAGGUGGGCUCUGUGUGUUUGUGGAACACGUAGCAGCAGAAGAUGGAACAAUUCGGAGAUUUUUCCAAGGGAUUCUUGAUCCUUUGCAGCAGUUUGUUGCUGAUGGCUGUCACUUCACUAGAAAAACUGGAGAAGUUAUUGCUAAAGCAGUCUUCUCAUCUGUUGAACUUCAGCGGGCAUUUGUGUCUUCUGCCUCAAUAGCAAAUCCUCAGGUUUAUGGGAUAGCUCGCAAGUAGCCUAGAUUAAUGUUAUGCCACAUAAAAUAUUCCUGCUGCAAACCUUGGAAUAAUUAUUUGAAUACUGAGUGUGUCUAGUGUAUUUGGAUAGAGUAUCAUUUGAAAUAUUAUUUAAAAUAAUUAAUGUAGCACUUUUUGUGA